Long non-coding RNA from Prionailurus viverrinus (fishing cat), 3764 nucleotides. RefSeq lists it as uncharacterized. The record is from RefSeq and is a predicted model, not a curated record. The transcript has 2 exons. Lineage: Eukaryota; Metazoa; Chordata; Mammalia; Carnivora; Felidae.
CAUGGUGACGAGACAUGCCAGGAAUUUAAGGCAUCGGGUGUGUUGCAUGCUCAAAAAAGCGGCAUCGUCAUUGAAGCCUGCUUGAUGAAACCAUAAUCUUUGUCAUAAUUGGAUUUAAAAUGCCAUGCUUUUAUUUGAACCUUGGGUUUUCAAACAAUGUUUUCCUUUGUAAACUUGGAUGAGACUUUAAAAUCCUAUUUUACAAAUGUAGAAGAAAUUUAUUCAGAAGUUGGCUCUAAAUGGGCGACCUUCCAUGCUGCGUGGUGUAGGUGUGAAUGGAAAGACAUGCAGGGCCUGGGAGUACUUGAUACAGGCUAGAAUCUGACCAGCUCCCACUGCGGUGGAGGCGGUGGUGGUGGGGAGAUGUUAGGCACAGGUGGUGGUUUUGAAAUCCGGGGUUUUCAGAUUUUUCUUUUUUUGGGAAAAGAAUAUUCAUAUACUGUCGUGUGUUUUUGUUUUUAGUUGGGUGGAAUUCGAUGACUUUAUCUACUCAGUCAUCAAAUACCUUGGCAUUUCAAAGACAUUUCCGUAACUUUUUAGUCUGCCUUUUGUUGCUUCUGUUUAAGAUGGUCUGUCCCUGAUUGUAUGGCCACAACCGUUGGGUUGAUUAAAAUGCAGCAACUCUUAAAAAUUCAUUAACUAAGGGUGAUUAUUAAUUGCAGCAGUCAGCAUGGCCUGGGUACUAUACCAUCAAGUUCCUUUGCUUACUGAAUUGCUCAAGAUUUAUGAGUGAUUAAAAAUAAGAUUUUACUUUUUAAAACUACUUGUUGGGGUUUCCUAAGGUGUUUCUUUUUUUUUCCUUCCUUAAAAAGGCCAAACUUCUGAGAGCCUAAAAGCAACGUAUCACCACGAUUCAGUGGCUUUUGUUCACUCCCUCACUGCCAUCUGUCACCUUCUCUUGCAGCUUAUGGAGCCCUUACCUACAGUAUCCCUGCUACCAGAACGUAAAGGUUCUUGAGGACAGGCGACGGAUUGCCACAGCUGGCUGACGUGAAGUAGAUUCCUGCCGCACAGAGCAAGUAUUUAUUUAUACUAACAUCCUCUAAAAUUGACCAUUGCAGAUUCAUGCUACAUUUUAACCUUUCUAAAGUUAUAGAAUUUAUAGGCUUCUAAUAGACUGCAUUUACACUUGACCGUCUUUCCAUCUUUUGCCUCCUGGUAAAUAUGUUGCCCUGUUUUCAAUUGUUCUAACACAUCUUGGAUGUCUUUUUCCUUAAAGGGAUUACUGUUGAUUGCUACCGCGUAAUUUGACCUAGUAUCUAAAAAGUUCAGCUGCUCAGUUUUAAAAAAGCUUUACUUUUCAAUGGAGGUGAUUGUGUGGGAGGAGACAUUUUUGGUAAUUUUUAAGUGAUGCAAAAAUCCAACAACAGUCCUCUUACUGAUAGGGUAAGUCAUAAACUAUCUCCAGACAGCUGGAAUUGCCUAGAUUCAUGUGUCACAUGCCUUUUUCUUUAGCCUCAGGCUCCAAUGACUAACUUUCUCUUAGAGUCUCUUUAAUUUGUGCUUCUUUGGGCUCCACAAAAUGAUAAAGGAGGCAACAGUCCCUUUUCUUGCUCUCUGGCUAGAAAGUGGUUUGAGGAGCCUGGAUACCCUAAAAGCAUCUUGUAAAGUAAAUGGCCUUGCAUCUAGAAGGGCUGGAUUUUUCCUAUCAAAAACAUUUCCGGAAAGUUACAAUCUGCUGUAAUCUUCUGUUUCGAGGACUACAACAGUUCAGGGUCUAGCAGUUUUAUGUGUAACACAUGCCCCCAGAUAAUCUUCCAACGUGAAAAGUUCCUUUUGACUUUUAGUAAAUGGAGAUACCUAAGUAGAAGUCAAAUUUUGGCUAAUAAAUCCCAAGCUCUUGGAAGGGCUAACAGGAAACAUUCUCUUCACACCUUCCUCUUUGACUUCCCAGUGAGAUCCCCUCCCAUUCUGCCUAAGGAACCGCAGAGAGGUGGCAAGUCUGGGAAAAGAAGCCAGGUUCAGCUUGGCCACUUCCAGCAAGAUUCGCUUAUAACUUGGACUAAGGAGUUUGUUCCAGACAUGAGAGCAAUUUAGUUUGUGAGAAUAUACAAGUCUAGCUCGCCAAAGUAGAGUAAUAUAGUUCAGAAAAAGUAACUUCGCAGAGAUGACUUCUGUUUUUGUUUUGCUUGCCUGCUUGAGGAGCGAGCCCUGCUCCCCCAGCUGUACACCUAGGAAUUAUCCUGAUCUUGACCUGAUCAAAAUGCCUUUUGUGAAUAGGUCACUAGAAGUGAAGCCCCGGUGAUGUAUUCCCAUAGUAAAUUUCUUCAGUUGUCAGUUUACUAUUUAAAAUAAAAUAAAAUGGAUGGGAUACAACCCUGAAUAUUUUUCUAGUCGAAUUUUUUUAUUAAUAAUUGGUGCUGUCAGGUCAUGCAUGCUGCAACUCAACAUUUCCCUUAUUUGGGUUUUGUUUUGUUUUUUUUUUUUUUUUUUUUUUUUUUUUUUUUGCAAAAAGGGCUACAGUUCACACUGCAGAGUAAGUAUUAAACUUUCUGGGUUUUUCUUUUCCCCCCACUGUGGCCCAAAAGAAUUAAAAUCUUUUUAUAUAGAGAGCAUAUUUACCAUUCCUCAAUAGUUAUAGAGUUUGGUACCUUUGUGCCUCAGGGAAGCCACGUGACGUAACUGGUUAUAGAAUUUCAGGGUUAGGGUUUAAAGAAAGGAGAAAGCCAUUGGAAAAAUGAUGGGCUCCAUUAAGGAGACUAAUGAAUCUGGAUGCAGAAGUAUGCCAGGACCUGGCAUAUGCAUGAUUGUAUUAGAAUUUAUUUCCAGUGUCAAUAGGGAAACCUUAAGUUAUUACAUAUACUGUAUUAGGAAAGUCGAGAACUCUUCUUCAUCAAGCUUCCAUGCUUUAUUUCAUUUUUGCUGACAUGAAACUUCAAACCCCUUUUGGGAGAGCUCAGUAUUGUUAUUUGGGCACUUUUGAAAGUUUAAAGGGAGUGUGUUUUCUCCUGAAUUUUCUCCUAGGUUGAAGAAUUGUUAGCUGCAGUUCUGUGAUUUUGAUCAACUUUUUAAAAGCUAUUCUGUGCUUUGUAUUUGUGUGAAAGGAGGUGCGAUUUCAGCAUUGUUCAUGCUGACUACGAUCUAGUGAGCUUCAGGCAGUUUUGCCUUGCAAGAGUGGAAUUUCUGAUAGGCAAACCACACAACCUUGAUUUUAAGCCAGAUCCAGCUCCGUUCCCUUGGCAGGUGAUCUUAUAGGCCCCUAGUUUAGCCUUCAUGGGCUGAGGGGAUGACGUUCCUCUUCCAGGGCUGAAAAUAGAACACAGCUCUGUUAUCAUUUCUUUAGGACCCCAAGGCCAAGGAGACAAUUCCAGGAUUUUUUUUUUUUAACAAUGUAAACAUUACAAAACUAGUAAAACAAAGAAGGUUCAGUAUUUCUUUUUAAGUAAAAUUUAUAUCCUCUCAAGUUUUCACCUUCAUGAAAAAGCCCUAGAGGAAGAUAGGAAAAAGCAAAUAUUUUUCCAGUCCUACUUAACCGUUUCUAAACAAAAGUAAACUUGAUGAAAGGGAAAUUAUUUCUUUUUAGGUGAGAUGACAGAUCAUUUCUCUGUAUUAAAUAAAUAGUCUAGAAGUUAAGGGGUGGUCCUAUUUACCAUGUAUAGUGUUACAAGCAGUUAAAUUUUAUGGAUAUAUUUGUAAAACUGUUCUUUUAUAUUUCAUGUCAAAUUGAAAAGUUUAUUUCUUCACUAUUGUAACCUGUGGAAAUACAAGCCAUUUUACAGGAAAAAUCUUCAAAAAUUAUUAAACGGAUCUCAUUAUGUUUGUGA